UAUAUUUUUAAAAACAAACAAAAAGGCCAUCUUAUGGUCGGAAACCCCAAAAAUACUCCAACGAAACCCAAAAACGCAUUUCACACACACUAAACCCCACCUCUCUCCAAUUCUACGGUCUCUAGCCACAAUGAGUGCACCCGUGAAGCCACCAGGCCCACCACUUUUCCUCCAUCACCACCGUCUUCUAUCUCGCCACCGUGAAUUCCACCUUUAAGCCAUCAUUGAACUAAUCAAGAAUUGAACAUACGAGUGCCCUUCUCUGCUUUCCCAUGUUACCUUUUAUCUAUGGUAGCUAUAGAAUCAAUAAUCUAACCCAAUUUGCACCUUAGUUUUCAAAGUAAAAUCGUCGAUUCGCAAGUUUCUACACUUCUCAGCCCUAAAACCUUUAUUUCUCUCUCCACUGUUCUUCUUCCAAUCUCCAGGUCCAGGAUCUCGAUUUCAUGCCUUGCUCUUUAUAUUGAAAUAGAUUCAUGUUUUUACUUUGCUCUCAAGUUCUGAAUUUCUAGGGUUAUAAUUUUAAUUAUAUACUUCAAAUUGAUUUUAUUUUCACAUCUAGUUACUCAUGUUCUUGAUUCGAAAUUCGUUGUAUUCUUUUCAUUCUCUCGGUUUCUUUUCAUUUUCUAGUUCCUUCUUUUUGUUAUUUAUAAUUUAAUUUUUGAUUUUAUUUCCCUUACUUCUCUAUCUCGAUACCUCCCAACUUGCAGAUCUUAUUAGGUCCCUUGCAAUUUUAAGUCCUGGGCUAGGUAGAAGUCUCCCAUUAUUUUGUUUGAUAUUUUCUAAUCCAUAUUAUAUCUCUUACUCUAUAUCUCUAUCCCUCCUCCCCUCCAAUGUUAUACAACUUAUGGCUUCUCUCAUCUUCAGAUCUUGGUCUACCAUCUGAAAGUAUUAGUGGAUUUUGCAUCUUCUACCUCGCAAUUUGAAGUCUUGUGUCAGGCACAAUUAUGUUGAUUUCCUAGCGGAAGAGAUCGAUGUAUGAUGUAGCUUCCCAUAAGAUCUAUGCGAAAGAUCACCAGUCAUAAAUUCUGAUCGAUUAAUGGCUAGGAGUUUUAUGCAGACUGAAGAACCUUGAGGACCUGAGGAACAAAUUUGAAGGGAGCCUUCCACUCUGUCUUGGCCAUUUUAAAGAGAUUCGCCAAGCUUGUUUUUCUUUAGUACGUCUCACUCUCAUCUAAUAACUUCGAUGGCUCAUUUUCAUUUCAUUCACUCGCUAAUAUCCCUAAGCGGCUUGAGGUCUUUGAACUCGUCAACAAUAACAACAAUCUAGCCGUUGAAACAGAGCUAUAUAGGGUUGGCCAGUUUCUUCCAUUUCAGCUCAAAUUAUCUAAUUGCACCCUCAACAACCCAACUGGUACUGUCCCUAUAUAGCUUCCUCGCGACUCACUGUUGUUGUAGUUGUUGUUGUCAUUGUUGUUACCGCUGUUGCCUACUUCUGCUACAGCUGCUGUCGGCUGUUACUGUUGUCUGUUUCCUACUGUUCAUUGCUGCCUGUUUGCUAGUGCACUUACUGUUAUUUUGUUUUUUCUGUUUUGAAAUUUGGUAGUGUAAAGACUGAGGUUGACCAUAAUUAACUUUCUUUUCGUUUUCAUUAUUAGAUUGUUUACCAAACAAAAAAAAUUGGUGUUUGUGGAUGUUUUAUUUAAGAAACUAUGAAAUUAUAUCAAUUCAAAUUAUUGUGUA
This is a long non-coding RNA of Spinacia oleracea (spinach), 1680 nucleotides long. RefSeq lists it as uncharacterized. The record is from RefSeq and is a predicted model, not a curated record. NCBI's taxonomy places the organism in Eukaryota, Viridiplantae, Streptophyta, Magnoliopsida, Caryophyllales, Amaranthaceae. The transcript has 3 exons.